Long non-coding RNA from Prunus avium (sweet cherry), 993 nucleotides. RefSeq lists it as uncharacterized. Lineage: Eukaryota; Viridiplantae; Streptophyta; Magnoliopsida; Rosales; Rosaceae. The record is from RefSeq and is a predicted model, not a curated record.
UCUUUCCUCGUCUGUCGCCUGUGCUAAUUCUGGUCAAGCAUGCAAUUGAAAAUUAUCGUUGAUGUUGUCUGCUAAAGAACAAAUAGCAUGCGAAGAUCACCUGUUAGACCCUUUUGUUGAGAAUUUCGUACUGGAAAUCAAAGUCCACUUCGGGAUGCAGGAUAUUGAACUUAUGCACAUGUGGUAUGCUCUAGAUUUAGCUGUUCUUGCGGUUGGAGUGAUGGAAAGGACUAUGACUGGUGAAAGAAAGUUUUCAUCAAGUUGCAUUUGACCAUUUGAAAGAUCUACAAAACCAUUUGGAGGCUGUCAAUGACAUCCCUCGCAAGAUCAUGAUGGCGAAUGUCAUAAGUUCGCUUUUACAUAUGGAUGAUGUUUCUCUCAAUUUGGCUCAUUGUGCCUCAACAUGGAGCUAUUCUGAAUCACAUUACACAUGUAUUUCAGAGAAAACUGAUCUAACACGUGAAGAGGGAAACAAAUUAGUUGUAUCUUUCACGAGGAAACUACUAGAUAUAUUACAUCACUGUCUUCCUUCAACUAUAAGUUUAUAACUGAACUAGAUCAUGCUCUAAGUGAUGGCGUAAGUAGGGGUGGAAGACAAGCAUUGGAGUGGAGAGCAUCAAUUGCUAAACAUUUAAAGAGUGGGAAUGGCAGUUGUCAAUUUUGCAGUGUCUUCUUUCGUUAUCUGAACGCCAGUGGCAGUGGAAAGAGGCAUUAACUGUAUUACGUCCCGCACCAUCUAAGCUACUUAACCUGGAAGGGAGGGUGUGUUAUUGGCUGCAAUUCUAGGAACCAAAAUAUGGUCCCAAACUACAAAAUAGUCUGCAUCCCCACACAUUUUCCCUGGGGACAUUAAUGUUGUAACCUGCUCCUGAUCCUUCUCCAAUCAUAGUAUAGAAACCAUCAUCAAUAGCUGGAUAAAAGGCUUCCGAACUCAUGCCCGAAAGAAGCACAGCUCCAUACGGUCAUCAUAACUAAGAACUUCAAUCUUAUGUG